AACCUGGUUGAUCCUGCCAGUAUUAUAUGCUUGUCUUAAAGAUUAAGCCAUGCAAAUGUAAGAUCAGGCACAUGCAGGUUCUUUCCUGUUAAUUGUAAGUCUGUGGCAGGCUCAUUAUAUCAGUUAUAAACCUAACCACCGGUAGAAAUUACAAGGAUAACGACUGUUAACUGCAGCGCUAAUACUUGUGGUGCAGAUAAAUUCUGUACGCGAUGGUAGUACAAAUAUUAUAGGAAUAGGUACUAUCGCAACUCUUGCUUGUUCUAAACAAGCUUGAGAGUCGAUCGCCAGGUGAAUGUGCCUUGUGCAUAUUCGUAAUAAUAAGCUUUAUUUGGCUCUAAUAAGGCUAAUGAAAGUUUAUUAUUACUGGUGACCAGGAAGAGGUGUUUCUUCCCUAUCAGCUCAAGUUGCUAGUGUAAGGUGCUAGCACGGCGACUACGGGUACAGGGAAUUAGUGUUCGAUUCUGGAGAGGGAGCCUGAGAAAUUGCUACCACAUCUAAGGACGGCAGCAGGCGCGUAAAUUACCCAAUUCCAAUACGGAGAGGUAGUGACAAGCUAUAGUGACUUCACGCUAACAGCGGGAAGGUACCCAUCUUUUUGGGUUUAUCAUGAUUUAGGUUUAAACCACCUUUUGAGAAACAACUAGAGGAAAAGUCUGGUGCCAGCACCCGCGGUAAUACCAGCUCUAGUAGCGUAUAUUAAUACUGUUGCAGUUAAAACGCUCGUAGUGAAUCUAAGGGUUAAGACUUAGGCAAUUGGCUACCAGGUAUAUAUAAGGGAUGAGUUUAUUACUUGUCUAUUAUAUAAAACCUGGUAGUCUCAGCGGAAUUUAUACUCUUCAAAGAGUAUAAAAUCUGCAAUUGUCUAAAUCUUACCCGAUCCCUACCAAAAAUUUGGUAGAGGCUCACAUUUCGAGGGCAACUGUGACAAAAUCGCAGCGCUUAAAGCAGGCUGAAAUAUAUUUGCCUGAGCGAUCAAGCAUAGGACUGCAUAAUUAGUCACAUUUCUGAAGUAUAGGGACAUUGUUUUCCUAUAUGGAGGAAAUGUGGCGGUCAUAAUGGGGGUUUGGGUGAGGUUCCAGGUAUCGUAUAGUUAAGGGUGAAAUCUAAUUACCUAUGCGAGACUACCGGAGGCGAAAGCUGUUGUGAACCACCACACGCCCAUCCACGAGGGACGAAAGUUGGGGGAGCGAAGACGAUUAGAUACCGUUGUAGUCCCAACCAUAAACUCUACAGACGGAAAAUUGAGUAUGAAAGUUUCAAUUCCUAUAUCUUCUCAGCACUCCAGAGAAAUCGUAAGUCUUUGUGUUCUGGGGGAAGUAUGGUCGCAAGGCUGAAACUUAAAGGAAUUGACGGAAAGGCACAACCAGGAGUGGAGUUUGCGGUUUAAUUUGACUCAACGCGGGAAAACUUACCAGGUCAGGACACACGGUUGAUUGACAGGUUGAUAGCCCUUUCUUGAUUGUGUGGAGGGUGGUGCAUGGCCGUUUUCAGUUCGUGGAGUGAUCUGUCUAGUUAAUUCUGAUAACGAACGAGACCUAAACAACUACUUAGACGUGGCCUCUUGACAAUCAUGUCAUGAGGAUAUGUUUCCAUGGUUAGGUUAUUUAGACUUAGCUGCGUGAAACCCACGAAAAGCAAAUCUCAAGAUUUGCGAGCUUCUUAGUUGGACAACGUCGCGUCCUUUUAGGGCGAAGGAAGAUUUAGGCGAUAACAGGUCUGUGAUGCUCUUAGAUGUUCUGGGCCACACGCGUACUACAACAGCUGUGGCAACAAGCUUCAUCACUAUAUUUUUUCAUAUAGUGACCUUAUCUGAAAGGAUUGGGGAAGCUUUUUAAAUACAGAUUAUGACAGGGAUUGAAGAUUGGAAAAUCUUCAUGAACGAGGAAUUCCUAGUAGUAGUGGUUCAUUAUACCACUACGAUUACGUCCCUGCCUUUUGUACACACCGCCCGUCGCUCCUACCAACUGGAUGAAGAGAUGAAUUUGAGCGACUGGCCAAUUUUUUUUUAAUUUGGCUGGGAAAUCAACUGAAUCUCUUUAUCUGUAGGAAGGAAAAGUCGUAACAAGGUCUUCGUAGGUGAACCUGCAGAAGGAUCA
Molecule: ribosomal RNA, 2099 nt
Filed under: Aurem hypersalina
Lineage: Eukaryota; Heterolobosea; Eutetramitea; Acrasida; Tulamoebidae
Description: bacterial SSU rRNA
Rfam family: Eukaryotic small subunit ribosomal RNA
Source: RNAcentral